Molecule: ribosomal RNA, 467 nt
Filed under: uncultured bacterium
Lineage: Bacteria
Description: partial 16S ribosomal RNA
Rfam family: Bacterial small subunit ribosomal RNA
Source: RNAcentral
GACGAACGCUGGCGGCGUGCUUAACACAUGCAAGUCGAACGGAAAGGCCCUGCUUUUGUGGGGUGCUCGAGUGGCGAACGGGUGAGUAACACGUGAGUAACCUGCCCUUGACUUUGGGAUAACUUCAGGAAACUGGGGCUAAUACCGGAUAGGAGCUCCUGCUGCAUGGUGGGGGUUGGAAAGUUUCGGCGGUUGGGGAUGGACUCGCGGCUUAUCAGCUUGUUGGUGGGGUAGUGGCUUACCAAGGCUUUGACGGGUAGCCGGCCUGAGAGGGUGACCGGCCAAAUGGGGACUAGGAUAGGGCCCAGGCCCCCAGGGGAGGCAGGGGGGGGGAAAAUUGCACAAGGGGGGGAAGCCGGAUGCGGCAACCCCGGGGGCGGGAUGACGGCCUUCGGGUUGAAAACCGCUUUCCCCGGGGACGAAGCGUGGGUGACGGUAAUGGGGAAAAAAGCACCGGCUAACUACGU